UCGAGGAUCUUCGUCAAUGGGCGAAAGCCUGAACGAGCGACGCCGCGUGCAUGAUGAAGGCCUUCGGGUUGUAAAGUGCGAAAGUGGGGACAAAGCCGCAAGGUUGAUUGAUCCACAGUAAGGACGGGCUAAGUUCGUGCCAGCAGCCGCGGUAAGACGAACUGUCCUAACGUUGUUCGGAAUCACUGGGCUUAAAGGGCGCGUAGGCGGUCGGACAAGUCAGGGGUGAAAUCCCGCAGCUUAACUGCGGAAGUGCCUUUGAUACUGUUCGUCUGGAGGGAGGUAGGGGUGUGUGGAACUCACAGUGGAGCGGUGAAAUGCGUUGAUAUUGUGAGGAACGCCGGAGGCGAAAGCGACGCACUGGACCUCUUCUGACGCUGAGGCGCGAAAGCUAGGGGAGCAAACGGGAUUAGAUACCCCCGUAGUCC
RNAcentral lists this ribosomal RNA (428 nucleotides) under uncultured bacterium. Its description in RNAcentral is "bacterial SSU rRNA". It matches the Rfam family "Bacterial small subunit ribosomal RNA", at positions 355 to 796 of the family's 1533-position model. The record is from RNAcentral.